GGCGUGGGCGUAGGAAAUCUGAGGAGAGCUGUCCUUAGUACGAGAGGACCGGGAUGGACGGACCGCUGGUGUAUCUGUUGCAUUACCAAGUGCAUGGCAGAGUAGCCAAGUCCGGCAGGGAUAAACGCUGAAGGCAUCUAAGCGUGAAGCCCCCUUCAAGAUAAGAUUUCCCAUGACAUAAAGUCAGUAAGACCCCUUGAAGACGACGAGGUAGAUAGGUGGAAGGUGGAAGUGCAGCAAUGCAUGGAGCUGAGCCAUACUAAUCGGUCGAGGGCUUGUCUUU
This 283-nucleotide ribosomal RNA is filed under the name Lachnospira sp. RNAcentral describes it as "partial 23S ribosomal RNA". It matches the Rfam family "Bacterial large subunit ribosomal RNA", at positions 2644 to 2925 of the family's 2925-position model. The record is from RNAcentral. Lineage: Bacteria; Bacillati; Bacillota; Clostridia; Lachnospirales; Lachnospiraceae.